GGCCCAGUGAUCUAAAGGUUAUGAUGUCCGCCUGUCUAGCGGAAUGUCGGGUUUCGAUUACCCGCUGGGUCGCCA
Molecule: transfer RNA, 75 nt
Filed under: compost metagenome
Description: tRNA-Asp
Rfam family: tRNA
About the family: Transfer RNA (tRNA) molecules are approximately 80 nucleotides in length. Their secondary structure includes four short double-helical elements and three loops (D, anti-codon, and T loops). Further hydrogen bonds mediate the characteristic L-shaped molecular structure. tRNAs have two regions of fundamental functional importance: the anti-codon, which is responsible for specific mRNA codon recognition, and the 3' end, to which the tRNAs corresponding amino acid is attached (by aminoacyl-tRNA synthetases). tRNAs cope with the degeneracy of the genetic code in two manners: having more than one tRNA (with a specific anti-codon) for a particular amino acid; and 'wobble' base-pairing, i.e. permitting non-standard base-pairing at the 3rd anti-codon position.
Source: RNAcentral